AGUGAACGCUGGCGGCGUGCCUAAUACAUGCAAGUCGAACGAUGAAGCUCUAGCUUGCUAGAGUGGAUUAGUGGCGCACGGGUGAGUAAUGCAUAGAUAACAUGCCCUUUAGUCUAGGAUAGCCAUUGGAAACGAUGAUUAAUACUGGAUACUCCUUACGAGGGAAAGUUUUUCGCUAAAGGAUUGGUCUAUGUCCUAUCAGCUUGUUGGUGAGGUAAUGGCUCACCAAGGCUAUGACGGGUAUCCGGCCUGAGAGGGUGAACGGACACACUGGAACUGAGACACGGUCCAGACUCCUACGGGAGGCAGCAGUAGGGAAUAUUGCUCAAUGGGGGAAACCCUGAAGCAGCAACGCCGCGUGGAGGAUGAAGGUUUUCGGAUUGUAAACUCCUUUUGUUAGAGAAGAUAAUGACGGUAUCUAACGAAUAAGCACCGGCUAACUCCGUGCCAGCAGCCGCGGUAAUACGGAGGGUGCAAGCGUUACUCGGAAUCACUGGGCGUAAAGAGCGCGUAGGCGGGAUAGCAAGUCAGAUGUGAAAUCCUAUGGCUUAACCAUAGAACUGCAUUUGAAACUGUUAUUCUAGAGUAUGGGAGAGGUAGGUGGAAUUCUUGGUGUAGGGGUAAAAUCCGUAGAGAUCAAGAGGAAUACUCAUUGCGAAGGCGACCUGCUAGAACAUAACUGACGCUGAUGCGCGAAAGCGUGGGGAGCAACAGGAUUAGAUACCCUGGUAGUCCACGCCCUAAACGAUGAAUGCUAGUUGUUGUGGAGCUUGUCUCUGCAGUAAUGCAGCUAACGCAUUAAGCAUUCCGCCUGGGGAGUACGGUCGCAAGAUUAAAACUCAAAGGAAUAGACGGGGACCCGCACAAGCGGUGGAGCAUGUGGUUUAAUUCGAAGAUACACGAAGAACCUUACCUAGGCUUGACAUUGAUAGAAUCCGCUAGAGAUAGUGGAGUGCUAGCUUGCUAGAACUUGAAAACAGGUGCUGCACGGCUGUCGUCAGCUCGUGUCGUGAGAUGUUGGGUUAAGUCCCGCAACGAGCGCAACCCUCGUCCUUAGUUGCUAACUAUUCGGUAGAGCACUCUAAGGAGACUGCCUUCGCAAGGAGGAGGAAGGUGAGGAUGACGUCAAGUCAUCAUGGCCCUUACGCCUAGGGCUACACACGUGCUACAAUGGGAAGCACAAAGAGAUGCAAUAUUGUGAAAUGGAGCAAAUCUAUAAAACUUCUCUCAGUUCGGAUUGUAGUCUGCAACUCGACUACAUGAAGCUGGAAUCGCUAGUAAUCGUAAAUCAGCUAUGUUACGGUGAAUACGUUCCCGGG
Molecule: ribosomal RNA, 1319 nt
Filed under: uncultured bacterium
Lineage: Bacteria
Description: 16S ribosomal RNA
Rfam family: Bacterial small subunit ribosomal RNA
Source: RNAcentral